AUGCUAAUGAAUCUUUAUUACUUGCUUCCCUGUAGAAUUUCGUAUGACCCCACAAGAUACCCUAAAUACAUUCCCGAAGCAUACUGUCUGUGCAAGGGCUGCCUCAUGGGGAUCUUUGGUGAGGAGAAUUUUCACUUCCGCAGCACCCCCGUGUACAUGCCCACCGUCAUCCUGCGCCGCACCUCCUCUUGCGCUGGAGGCCGCUAUGUGUACACGGAAGACUACGUCACUAUCCCAGUGGGCUGCACUUGUGUGCCUGAGCAAGAAAAGGAGGCCGAAGACGUAAAUUCCAGCAUAGACAAGCAAGAAAUGAAGUUGCUGGUCAACCAGAACAAGCCGUCAUCGGAAUGA
Molecule: RNA transcript, 351 nt
Organism: Gallus gallus (chicken)
Lineage: Eukaryota; Metazoa; Chordata; Aves; Galliformes; Phasianidae
Gene: IL17D
Gene name: interleukin 17D
Exons: 1
Source: RefSeq